UUGGUCUUUGUUGUUAAAAAUUCACUUUUUCAGAUUUUGUUUGAAAUGAGCUUAUCCAAAUUUACCUCCUCGAGUCAAAUAUCUUCAAAUGAAGAAAAUUAUGUCGCAUCUACAUCCCAAAAAAGAGGAAGUCAGGAAACAGAGAAAAGUAUCCACACGCCCCGCUACCAACGACUCCCUGCUGGCAAUUAAAGAAAGAUGCAUCUAACCACUACAGUAUAUUUUCAACAAAAAACUUCACCGAUGUCAGAAAAAAUCUGAAAAAAAAAACUAAAAAUUUGAAGUAAAGUGUCACAUUUUCAAGCUGAGUUUAUGAUGUUGUUACAAUUUAACCAUUUCUUUAA
This is a long non-coding RNA of Symsagittifera roscoffensis, 344 nucleotides long. RefSeq lists it as uncharacterized. NCBI's taxonomy places the organism in Eukaryota, Metazoa, Xenacoelomorpha, Acoela, Convolutidae. The record is from RefSeq and is a predicted model, not a curated record. The transcript has 2 exons.